Dama dama (fallow deer) is the source of this 1963-nucleotide long non-coding RNA. RefSeq lists it as uncharacterized. Lineage: Eukaryota; Metazoa; Chordata; Mammalia; Artiodactyla; Cervidae. The record is from RefSeq and is a predicted model, not a curated record. The transcript is spliced from 4 exons.
GCCAGCGCGGUCGGUUCCGCCCGACUCUAACAUGGCGGCGCCCUCUCUCUGUUCAGAAGUGCAGUCCCGCCUUCUCGCGGCCGUGACGCCCCUCACGCUGCGGUGGGGUCCGGGACAUGGCGGGUGAGGGUAAUGAUCUGGAGGAGGAGAGCCAAGCUGGAGUUUCCCCCGUCCAGCCGUCCAGAGUAGCCUGGGCUACUUGGAAAUCUGAGUAGGUCAUCCAGAGGACGUAAGACAUGGUGGCUACUAAUGGACUCUUUCCAUGGUGCUUCUUCAUGCCAUACUCCUGCAAGGACAGUGAUUAUCACAGCUUCUGUUGAACUUGAUCCGAUGGGCCUGAUAAUCUAUGUGAGCCUACUUCUGCUGACUCCAAAAGUCCUGAGUCUGCUGUUUGAUCCUCAAGACAAUACCUUCCUGUCCUGGGCUCACUCCUAUGCCACAUUCCACAAUUGGUCUAACUGCUGGGUCUGUGGAGCACUCCCCUCUUCAUCAGUGGAAGGCUUCCCAUGGUGGACAUCUCCACUUCAAGGAAAAGACUUUCUCCAAGUCUGCAAAUACCUUCAACAACAGCAACCAUAUGUGAUGCCUCUUCUUAAUCUGAUGACAUCUAAUAAUCCUAAUAUGGACUGGUGCAACACUUUGUACCUUAACUGUGGACAUAAUGUGACUUUUAACUUUGCUGAUUGUUCUGUUCUUGCUGUUUGCUCCCUGCAUCUGUAACUGUGAAGCUGGAUUUGUUUCUAGCUGCAUGAAGGCUUUUAAGUUACAAAUGGUUGCUCAAACUCCUGCCACUCCUCCAACUACUACUUGGGGCCCCUGGAUCAGAGACCCUCAAUAUGAGGGUUAGGAGAAUAUGUUGCCUCACCAAUUUAGAGAUGAUGCCCCUUUCCUUAGGCAACAUAAUUCUCCUAAAAGAAAAGGGGGGAAUGAGAGGGUAACAGGUAGGAAGGCCUAGGGGUCUCCAAAUGGAGGAAAUAAACUACAAGUGUCAGAUUUUUGGCUUCCCUGAUAGCUCAGUUAGUGAAGAAUCCCCCUGCAAUGCGGGAGACCCCGGUUCAAUUCCUGGGUUGGGAAGAUCCCCUGGAGAAGGGAAAGGAUACCCACUCCAGUAUUCUGGCUUGGAGAAUUCCAUGGACUGUAUAGUCCAUGGGGUCACAAAGAAUCGGACACGACUGAGCAACUUUAAAUGUAAAUGUAAAAUGCAAAUUUAAAAAGAGGUUUCUUUAAAAUUCUGUGUUGCCAUGAUGGCCCCUGGUUCCGCCUGAACUUAACUUUUCUCAAACCUUGAGCUAACCAAUGCAUUUUUCUUAUGGAAAUGUUUUUCUUAAGCUAUGUUAAUGAACUAUGUAUUUACCCUAGAUUCUGUCUUUCUUCAAGUCAGUUCCGCCUAAGACUCAGAACUGACUUGACAAACCAGUGUGUUUUACGCAUGCAAAUGUUCUCUUAAGCUAUGUCAAUGAGACUAUGUUUUUGCUUGGAAGCCUGUCUUUCUUCAGGAUUCAUGUUGAUCGUUUAUGGCCAGGACAGCUCACCUUGGGCCAGUGUUAUAUGUGAGUGAGAGGCCUGGUGCCAGCCUCUGCGUUUUGAGACAUUGCCUUCCUCUAAUCAGCAGCCUGCUAGUAGCUGUGUAUCACCUGGCUAAAGACUAGCAGGGGGCACUCUUUCUGCCCCUUUCUGAUGUCUGUGUCAGAAGCUUUCUCUAUCUCUUUUGUACUUUAAUAAAACUGUAUUACACAAAAACUGUGAGCGAUCAAGCCUCGUCACUGGCCCAGGAUUGAAUUCCUGUCUGGAGGCCAAGAAUCCCGGCAUUGUUCACAGCUCAGCAACAACCUUUCAUCUACCAUUGGGCUAUUGUGAAUAAUGUUGCUAGGAAUAGUUGUGUACCAGUUGUUGUUUGAACAGCUGUUUUCAGUUAUUGACAUGUGUAUCCAAGAGCAGAGAAAUAAACAAUUGGUGAAAUAAA